This 84-nucleotide transfer RNA is filed under the name Galendromus occidentalis (western predatory mite). RNAcentral's name for it is "tRNA-Leu". It matches the Rfam family "tRNA". From Rfam's summary of the family: Transfer RNA (tRNA) molecules are approximately 80 nucleotides in length. Their secondary structure includes four short double-helical elements and three loops (D, anti-codon, and T loops). Lineage: Eukaryota; Metazoa; Arthropoda; Arachnida; Mesostigmata; Phytoseiidae. RNAcentral also lists the same sequence under 1 other name. The record is from RNAcentral.
GUCAGGAUGGCCGAGUGGUCUAAGGCGCUGCGUUCAGGUCGCAGUCCGGUCUUCCGGGCGUGGGUUCGAAUCCCACUUCUGACA